CUCUAAUUCCAUAGGUCUGUGGCUGUGUAAGACGAGGAGGAGACAGAGAGAGGGCUGUUUCUCUUUCUUCCAUGAGAAGACACAGUGAGUAGGAAUCCAGAAAGAGGGCUCUCACCAGAACCUGAUCGGAUCAGAUGCUGGCACCCUGAUCUCAGCCGCCAGCACUGGGAGAAAAUAAGUUCUGUUGGAUAGGCCAGCCAGUCUGCCUUGUUUUGUUGCGGCAGCCCAAGCUGACUAAGACAAAUGCUAAGGAUAUGUGAGUUUGUCGAACCCAGGGCCCCUUAUGGCUUCCAGUCUCAGACUACUUGUGAAUGAAGAUAUUUACAUUUAGGUACAGGUUUUGGGGUGCCAUAGUUUUAUCUAAUUAGACAUUCUGAUAGGUAUAUAAAAUUUUGGUCAAGGGACUUAUGUUAUAAGGGAAAACAUUUUUGCUCCUUGGAGCUCAAUUUUUAUCCAUAAAACUUUAUGAUAUUAAAAUCUAGAUUUUUUUUUUUUUAAGACUCAUAGAAAGUAGAAGACACUUGAUUGUGAAUGUUUCUAACCAUUUUUAUUUGUCUUUGGAGUCACCUCUCAAGUUUUUGGAAAUAUGCUAUCAGUGUAGCAGCUUAGCUCAAGCAUUUACCAAUCUGUGAAGUUUUCUCCUCUAGGUAGUGGGAAGCUGCCCUGGCACCCUCUCUACUCCUACAAAGAGCAAAUAGCUUUUUGGGCUGACACUCAGCUUUUGCAUUAGGAAUGAACCUCUUUCUCAGUCUUCAGAUAUCUUGAAUUACACCUUUGACUUUCAAAUGUAUUCCCAGGUACCUGGAAAGUAAGAGUUAAGAGAGGCUGUAAUUAAUUAUUAAAUAAUCAACAAUAAAUAAGCAAAUGAGUAUUUAAAUACAAUAUAGGCUGCAAAUAAGGGAAAUUGAUAACCAAAGCCUUAAUUAAAGAGAAUAAAUACUGUCAGUUAACUUGAAAGAGAUAUUUUCCAAAUAAGCUACAAAUUGGAUAAUUAGGAGUUGAUAAUGAUAGAUUUUCCCUCACUAAUCUCUUUUUGCUUACCUCCUUUUAUGUGCUAAGCCUAAAGUAAAACAGUGUCCUUGAGCAGAAACAAAAAGAAUUGCUUUCCUUUAGUAUUAUUUUUAGGGACUGCUAGUUCAUUCUGACUCACAAGCACAUAAAGUGUUAUCAGAUAAAAAUAAAACGUAAAUUUUAAAUCUACUUUUUCAUAUUUCUGAUAGUAGCAUGGGGGGAUGGUGUUUGUUCUGUCUACCAAUAUAGACUUCUAGAAGCAGGAAUUAAGUCCAUUAAAGCUUCUAGUAUAUUUAGGGUAUAACCAUAAUAUAUCUAACACAAUCACCAAUGUGUUGACGGUAACAUUUCAUAGAAAAAUAGAAUAUUUCUGAGCAUUGUUUUUGAUAUUUGAGGGACAGUGGUACAUAUUUCAAAUAUUACUGUCUCUUCUUUUUAUUGUUUGUAGAUUUUCUUUGAUAAAAGCCCAAUCUAAUCCAGAGUUCUCCAUCCCAUUUUAAUCUUGCCUGUUUAUGUUAUUUCUGAAUUGGAAAAAUUUCGUUAAAUGUGAAUUGAGUAAAUAACAACAUCAAAAACAACUAAUACUUACUGAUAGCCUAGCACGGACCUAAGUUCUGCUUUUAGUCCUUUUCAUGUAGUAGGUAUAUUAAUCCUUUGAUCCUCACAUUCCGUGAACAAUGAAAUUGAGUCUUUUUUUUUUUUCUUUUUUGGACACCCAGUGGCAUGUAGAGUUCACGGGCCAGGGAUCAGAUCCGAGCUGCAGUUGCAACCUCAGCUGUAGCUGUAGCAAUGCCAGGUAUUUAACCCACUGUGUGGGGCCAGGAUUGGACCUGGUCCCAGCACUUCCAAGACGCUGCCAAUCCCGUUGCACCACAGCAGGAACUCCAAAAUUGAGUCUUACAAGUCAUUGCUGAAGGUCAUAAAGACGUCAAGAGUUAAACCCAAGCUUAUCUUAUUAUGGAGCAAAGAUGUUCCUCAUUUUGUCUUAUUAGUUUUUUAUAUUACUUUAGAAACAAGACACUAAAAUAAAUAUUAUGCACUGUGGAUUCAGUACAUACAUAACCUCAGGGAAAAAUUAAUUCUAGAUCAUAUUUCAUCACCAACCAGCAAGUAUGUAGAAUCUGUCAAAUUAAAACUAGGUGGUCAAAUUAUUUUUCUUUUCAAGUGUUACCUGUAACCCAUUUAAAAUUUUCCUUGGUGCUUUAUAAGAAAAGGGGGCUUUUUUCCUAAAUAAUUAACCUGUAGUUUUUCAGCCUGCUCUGGCUUUUCUCCUUCCUCCCCCCAGGCCACCACAAUAUUCCCAUGGUCAGUGGACAAUAGUUUUCAUCAUGCCAACACUUUCUAGUACUCAUUACUGAGGAUCAUUUUCUGUACUUGAUGCUGACAUGUUCCCCUUUUAAAAUUUUCAUGAUGAAGUUUUAUUUUAAUUUCUAUUUGUGAAAAGAUAGAGUCCUGUGCGUGUGUAUGUAUGUCUCUGUGUAUGUGUCUGUGUGUGUUGAGGUCGUUUGAUGAAACAGGUGUUUGUUUUGUUUCAUUUUAAUCUUCUUCAUGUUAUUAGUUUACUAGUAAACACUACCUGCCUAGGACUUAAUUACAUCAUUUUUAUUCUUAAUUUCUUAUUUCUAUAAAGUACCUAUGAGGGUUUUGGGAGGUAACCCAAAGUAGCACAUAUUCUGCUUACGAAUUUGAAGAGGCUGCAUACCACUUGAUGUAUAAGACCCUUUAUUUAAUCAUAUGUCAGUAGUUUUGCUCUUUAGAUGUAUGAGACUGAAAUGAGGUUAGGGUGCUCUAUAACAGAACAGGAAGAAAAACGGAUGGGGUUAGUAAAAUUAGGCACUUUAACAAGGGCUUGGAAAGAGCUAGAUCUGAACUGGGAAUCCGACCGAGGCACAUAGUAAAGAGAAAACAAAUCUUUUGUUCAAUUUUAAAUCGCUGGAUUUGUAACACUUUUUUGGCAUAAAUCAAUUUGAUAUCUAAUUCACAGACACUGUUGGAUAGCAUAGCGAUUGAAGCCAGGGUAGAUGGAAGUUAAAUCUAGUAUUUCCUUUUUGCUUCAUUGUAACUGUAUCUUUUCUACAAAGGUCAGUGAUAGCAAUUUCAUUUUGAGACUGUAAUUUAGAAGGUAAAAAAAAAAAUCAAAUGAAACCUACAAAUGUCACUUUCCUUGUUCGCAUUUUGCCUCAAAGUCUUGGAGAGUGAGAAAUAUUAGGUUUUUAUUUUAAUCAUUUGGAUGAUUGUGGACUAAUGGUGUCCAGUAUAUUUAAGCACCCACUGGUGAAUUAUUUAUCUCAAAGAACUCUAGUACAUGAAAUAAAUAUAAAAGCUAAAUUCCAUUACAUACUUACAAUGAGCCAGGCACUGUUCUAAGCACUUUAUAUGUAUUAUCUCCUUUAAUUAACAGAAUAGCCUACUAUGUUAAGAACGGUUAUGAUAGUUAACUCACAGACCAGGAACUUGAAGGUUAAAGGAAUUAAGCAUGCAGUAACUUAACUAAGGCUCCAUAGAUAAUAAGUAGUAGAUUCGGAGUUAAUUCCACCCAAUACUGCUAAUGUAAGCAGGUAAAUGUACAGAUCCUUGCAGUGAUGAGCGAACUGAGGCAAGACCUUGGAUGCCACUGGCUAGAUCUGCCUUUUGACCCUCAAAGUAUUUCCUAAGGAAAUUCUAGGGGUCCUCAUCUCUACUGUAUUUAAAAAAAAAAUCUGAAUUUCCAUUCCAGGUGCUUGACUAAGUGCUGUUGGAACUUCUCUCCCUAUCAAGUAUCAACUAAGAUGGUUUUAAAGGAAGACAAAUGACAUAAAACAUACCACCACCUUCAUUCAUCCAGUUUCUCAUGCCACAACCCAAAGAGCAUCAAAAAUGCUCCUCUUGCUUUCACACUGUCACAUCUGAUCCAUCAAUAAGUUCAAUGUUUUUCGGAGUUCCCAUCGUGGCUCAGCGGAAAUGAAUCCAACUAGGAACCAUGAGGUUGUGGGUUUGAUCCCUGGCCUUGCUCAGUGGGUUAAGGAUCCGGCAUUACCGUGAGCUGUGUAGGUUGCAGAUGCGGCUCGGAUCUGGUGUUGCUCUGGCUCUGGCAUAGGCCGGGGGCUAUAGCUCUGUUUAGACCCCUAGCCUGGGAACCUCCAUAUGCC
RNAcentral lists this long non-coding RNA (4139 nucleotides) under Sus scrofa (pig). RNAcentral's name for it is "lncRNA (ENSSSCG00015046857.1)". Lineage: Eukaryota; Metazoa; Chordata; Mammalia; Artiodactyla; Suidae. The record is from RNAcentral.